This 497-nucleotide ribosomal RNA is filed under the name uncultured bacterium. Its description in RNAcentral is "partial 16S ribosomal RNA". It matches the Rfam family "Bacterial small subunit ribosomal RNA", at positions 28 to 507 of the family's 1533-position model. The record is from RNAcentral.
GAUGAACGCUGGCGGCGUGCCUAAUACAUGCAAGUCGAGCGAACAGACGAGGAGCUUGCUCCUCUGACGUUAGCGGCGGACGGGUGAGUAACACGUGGAUAACCUACCUAUAAGACUGGGAUAACUUCGGGAAACCGGAUCUAAUACCGGAUAAUAUAUUGAACCGCAUGGUUCAAUAGUGAAAGACGGUUUUGCUGUCACUUAUCGAUGGAUCCGCGCCGCAUUAGCUAGUUGGUAAGGUAACGGCUUACCAAGGCAACGAGGCGUAGCCGACCUGAGAGGGUGAUCGGCCACACUGGAACUGAGACACGGUCCAGACUCCUACGGGAGGCAGCAGUAGGGAAUCUUCCGCAAUGGGCGAAAGCAUGACGGAGCAACGCCGCGUGAGUGAUGAAGGUCUUCGGAUCGUAAAACUCUGUUAUUAGGGAAGAACAAAUGUGUAAGUAACUAUGCACGUCUUGACGGUACCUAAUCAGAAAGCCACGGCUAACUACGUG